UACGUAGGGGGCAAGCGUUAUCCGGAAUUACUGGGCGUAAAGGGUGCGUAGGUGGUUUCUUAAGUCAGAGGUGAAAGGCUACGGCUCAACCGUAGUAAGCCUUUGAAACUGGGGAACUUGAGUGCAGGAGAGGAGAGUGGAAUUCCUAGUGUAGCGGUGAAAUGCGUAGAUAUUAGGUGGAACACCAGUUGCGAAGGCGGCUCUCUGGACUGUAACUGACACUGAGGCACGAAAGCGUGGGGAGCAAACAGG
Molecule: ribosomal RNA, 252 nt
Filed under: uncultured bacterium
Lineage: Bacteria
Description: partial 16S ribosomal RNA
Rfam family: Bacterial small subunit ribosomal RNA
Source: RNAcentral